UACGAAGGGAGCUAGCGUUGUUCGGAAUUACUGGGCGUAAAGCGUGCGCAGGCGGCGCCGCAAGUCAGGCGUGAAAUCCCCGAGCUUAACUUGGGAAUGGCGCUUGAAACUACGGUGCUGGAGUGUGGCAGAGGGAGGUGGAAUUCCACGUGUAGCGGUGAAAUGCGUAGAGAUGUGGAGGAACACCGAUGGCGAAGGCAGCCUCCUGGGCCAACACUGACGCUCAUGCACGAAAGCGUGGGGAGCAAACAGG
This 253-nucleotide ribosomal RNA is filed under the name uncultured bacterium. RNAcentral's name for it is "partial 16S ribosomal RNA". It matches the Rfam family "Bacterial small subunit ribosomal RNA", at positions 524 to 776 of the family's 1533-position model. The record is from RNAcentral.